GCGCCACAAGUGGGAAUCGUGAUUAUUGGGCCUAAAGCGUCCGUAGCUGGUCUUAUAAAUCUCUUGUGAAAUCGUAGAGCUUAACUUUACGGCGAGCAGGAGACACUAUUUGACUUGGAACCGGGAGGAGUUAGAGGAAUUCUGGGGGGAGCGGUAAAAUGCUAUAAUCCCCGGAAGACCACCUGUCGCGAAGGCGUCUAACUAGAACGGAUUCGACAGUGAGGGACGAAAGCCAGGGGAGCGAACCGGAUUAGAUACCCGAGUAGUCCUGGCCGUAAACGCUGCGAGCUAGGUGUUGCAUAUUCUUCGGGAAUAUGCAGUAUCGAAGCGAAGGCGAUAAGCUCGCCGCCUGGGAAGUAUAGUCGCAAGGCCGAAACUUAAAGGAAUUGGCGGGGGAGCACUACAAGGGGUGCGGCGUGCGGUUUAAUCUAAUUCAACGCAGAAAAUCUCACCAGGAACGACGGCAGAAUGAAAGUCAGGCUAAAGACCUUACUUGACGAGCCGAGAGGUGGUGCAUGGCCGCCGUCAGCUCGUGCUGCAAGGUGUCCUCUUAAGUGAGGUAACGAGCGAGACCUGUGCCUACAAUUACCAUCGACUCCUUUUGGAGGAUCGAGUACAUUGUGGGAACUGCCUUGGAAACAAGGAGGAAGGUGCAGGCUACGGUAGGUCUGUAUGCCCCGAAUUCCCUGGGCUACACGCGCGUAACAAUGGUAGGGACAAUGGGAUACAACUCCGAAAGGAGAAGUUAAUCCUCUAAACCCUAUCUUAGUUCAGAUCGAGGGCUGUAACUCGCCCUCGUGACGAUGGAAUCCCUAGUAAUCGGACGUCAACAUCGUCCGGUGAAUAUGUCCCUGUUCCUUGCACACACCGCCCGUCAAAUCACCCGAGCAGGGUUUGGGUGAGGCUUACUUUUUCGAGUAUUCCGAACCUAAGCUCAGUGAGGUGGGUUAAGUCGUCACAAGGUAACCGUAGGGGAACCUGCGGUUG
RNAcentral lists this ribosomal RNA (987 nucleotides) under marine metagenome. Its description in RNAcentral is "bacterial SSU rRNA". It matches the Rfam family "Archaeal small subunit ribosomal RNA", at positions 479 to 1467 of the family's 1478-position model. The record is from RNAcentral.